RNAcentral lists this ribosomal RNA (448 nucleotides) under uncultured bacterium. RNAcentral's name for it is "bacterial SSU rRNA". It matches the Rfam family "Bacterial small subunit ribosomal RNA", at positions 355 to 825 of the family's 1533-position model. The record is from RNAcentral.
UGGGGAAUAUUGCACAAUGGGCGAAAGCCUGAUGCAGCAACGCCGCGUGCGGGAAGAAGGCCCUAGGGUUGUAAACCGCUUUCAGCAGGGAAGAAAAUGACGGUACCUGCAGAAGAAGGUGCGGCCAACUACGUGCCAGCAGCCGCGGUGACACGUAGGCACCAAGCGUUGUCCGGAUUUAUUGGGCGUAAAGAGCUCGUAGGCGGUUCAGUAAGUCGGGUGUGAAAACUCUGGGCUCAACCCAGAGACGCCACCCGAUACUGCUGUGACUUGAGUACGGUAGGGGAGUGGGGAAUUCCUGGUGUAGCGGUGAAAUGCGCAGAUAUCAGGAGGAACACCAGUGGCGAAGGCGCCACUCUGGGCCGUAACUGACGCUGAGGAGCGAAAGCGUGGGGAGCAAACAGGAUUAGAUACCCCAGUAGUCCCUGAGCGGGCUGGCAAGGCGCAU